CUUACAUAUAAAAUGCCGCAUUGAAAUAUCUUGUUUUGUGUUUGAGUCAUUAAAUUUGGCCAGAAAAGUUGAACUUGACGGUCACCAAUCCGAUGAAACAAACUCUGGGGAAGGUGAAAACUCAAAUGGAGGAACUUCAAAUGUAGGAAAUAGUGAAGAUGAUCAAGCUCGCGAAAUCGAACUUCUUUUACAAACGAGCAAAUAGAUAAUUUAGAAAAAGAAUUUGAACGUACACAUUACCCAGAUGUUUUUGCGAGAGAUUGGCUGGUAAGAUUGGCUUACCAGAAGCAAGAAUUCAAGUUUGGUUUUCAAACCGACGCGCUAAAUGGCGUCGUGAAGAAAAACUGCGAAAUCAGAGGAGAACUCCAAAUUCAACUUGUGCUAGCGGAACUUCAUCUACAACUUCAACUACAGUAUCGGCAACUAAUAGUCCAACUAAUA
Long non-coding RNA from Drosophila ananassae, 441 nucleotides. RefSeq lists it as uncharacterized. The transcript is spliced from 3 exons. The record is from RefSeq and is a predicted model, not a curated record. Lineage: Eukaryota; Metazoa; Arthropoda; Insecta; Diptera; Drosophilidae.